CAGUAGCCGCGGGAACACAGAGGGUGCGAGCGUUAAUCGGAUUUACUGGGCGUAAAGCGUGCGUAGGCGGCUUCUUAAGUCGGAUGUGAAAUCCCUGAGCUUAACUUAGGAAUUGCAUUCGAUACUGGGAAGCUAGAGUAUGGGAGAGGAUGGUAGAAUUCCAGGUGUAGCGGUGAAAUGCGUAGAGAUCUGGAGGAAUACCGAUGGCGAAGGCAGCCAUCUGGCCUAAUACUGACGCUGAGGUACGAAAGCAUGGGGAGCGAACAGGAUUAGAUACCCCUGUAGUCCCUGUCUCUUUACA
Molecule: ribosomal RNA, 301 nt
Filed under: uncultured bacterium
Lineage: Bacteria
Description: partial 16S ribosomal RNA
Rfam family: Bacterial small subunit ribosomal RNA
Source: RNAcentral